CAGUCGCCGCGGUAAUACGAAGGGGGCUAGCGUUGUUCGGAAUAACUGGGCGUAAAGGGCGCGUAGGCGGAUUUUUAAGUCAGGGGUGAAAUCCCGCAGCUCAACUGCGGAACUGCCUUUGAUACUGGGUAUCUUGAGUAUGGAAGAGGUUAGUGGAAUUGCGAGUGUAGAGGUGAAAUUCGUAGAUAUUCGCAGGAACACCAGUGGCGAAGGCGGCUAACUGGUCCAUAACUGACGCUGAGGUGCGAAAGCGUGGGGAGCAAACAGGAUUAGAUACCCCCGUAGUCCCUGUCUCUUAUAC
This 301-nucleotide ribosomal RNA is filed under the name uncultured bacterium. RNAcentral describes it as "partial 16S ribosomal RNA". It matches the Rfam family "Bacterial small subunit ribosomal RNA", at positions 509 to 807 of the family's 1533-position model. The record is from RNAcentral.